RNAcentral lists this ribosomal RNA (884 nucleotides) under uncultured bacterium. RNAcentral's name for it is "bacterial SSU rRNA". It matches the Rfam family "Bacterial small subunit ribosomal RNA", at positions 8 to 871 of the family's 1533-position model. The record is from RNAcentral.
AGAGUUUGAUCCUGGCUCAGAAUCAACGCUGGCGGCGUGCCUAACACAUGCAAGUCGAACGCGAAAGUGGAGCAAUCCAUGAGUAGAGUGGCAAACGGGUGAGUAACACGUGGGUGACCUGCCUUCGAGUGGGGGAUAACGUCCCGAAAGGGACGCUAAUACCGCAUGACAUCCUGCCUUUUAAGAGGUGGAGAUCAAAGCCGGGGAUCGCAAGACCUGGCGCUUGAAGAGGGGCCCGCGUCCGAUUAGCUAGUUGGUGGGGUAACGGCUCACCAAGGCAACGAUCGGUAGCCGGCCUGAGAGGGCGGACGGCCACACUGGGACUGAGACACGGCCCAGACUCCUACGGGAGGCAGCAGUGGGGAAUUGUUCGCAAUGGGCGCAAGCCUGACGACGCAACGCCGCGUGGAGGAUGAAGACCUUCGGGUCGUAAACUCCUUUCGAUCGAGACGAACGGCUUCCGGGUGAACAACCCGGGAGAGUGACGGUACCGAGAGAAGAAGCCCCGGCUAACUCCGUGCCAGCAGCCGCGGUAAUACGGGGGGGGCAAGCGUUGUUCGGAAUUACUGGGCGUAAAGGGCUCGUAGGCGGCCAACUAAGUCAGACGUGAAAUCCCUCGGCUCAACCGGGGAACUGCAUCUGAUACUGGAUGGCUUGAGUUCGGGAGAGGGAUGCGGAAUUCCAGGUGUAGCGGUGAAAUGCGUAGAUAUCUGGAGGAACACCGGUGGCGAAGGCGGCAUCCUGGACCGACACUGACGCUGAGGAGCGAAAGCCAGGGGAGCAAACGGGAUUAGAUACCCCGGUAGUCCUGGCCCUAAACGAUGAAUGCUUGGUGUGGCGGGUAUCGAUCCCUGCCGUGCCGAAGCUAACGCAUUAAGCAUCCG